GUGUGUGAUGGCGGAGGAUGUAUGUGUGAGGUGUGUGUGUGAGGAUUGUGUGUGUGUGUGUGUGUGAUGGAGGAUGUGUGUGUGUGAGAGGUUUGUCGCGUCGGGAUGACGGCCUUCGGGUUGUAAACCUCUUUCAGUACCGACGAAGCGCAAGUGACGGUAGGUACAGAAGAAGCACCGGCCAACUACGUGCCAGCAGCCGCGGUAAUACGUAGGGUGCGAGCGUUGUCCGGAAUUAUUGGGCGUAAAGGGCUCGUAGGCGGUUUGUCGCGUCGGGAGUGAAAACGCCGUGCUUAACACGGCGCUUGCUUUCGAUACGGGCAGACUAGAGGUAUGCAGGGGAGGACGGAAUUCCUGGUGUAGCGGUGAAAUGCGCAGAUAUCAGGAGGAACACCGGGUCGACGCGGCCG
RNAcentral lists this ribosomal RNA (410 nucleotides) under uncultured Nocardioides sp. RNAcentral's name for it is "bacterial SSU rRNA". The stretch from base 46 to 410 matches the Rfam family "Bacterial small subunit ribosomal RNA", at positions 1 to 724 of the family's 1533-position model. The record is from RNAcentral. Lineage: Bacteria; Bacillati; Actinomycetota; Actinomycetes; Propionibacteriales; Nocardioidaceae.